UGCAGUCGAGCGAAUGGAUUAAGAGCUUGCUCUUAUGAAGUUAGCGGCGGACGGGUGAGUAACACGUGGGUAACCUGCCCAUAAGACUGGGAUAACUCCGGGAAACCGGGGCUAAUACCGGAUAACAUUUUGAACCGCAUGGUUCGAAAUUGAAAGGCGGCUUCGGCUGUCACUUAUGGAUGGACCCGCGUCGCAUUAGCUAGUUGGUGAGGUAACGGCUCACCAAGGCAACGAUGCGUAGCCGACCUGAGAGGGUGAUCGGCCACACUGGGACUGAGACACGGCCCAGACUCCUACGGGAGGCAGCAGUAGGGAAUCUUCCGCAAUGGACGAAAGUCUGACGGAGCAACGCCGCGUGAGUGAUGAAGGCUUUCGGGUCGUAAAACUCUGUUGUUAGGGAAGAACAAGUGCUAGUUGAAUAAGCUGGCACCUUGACGGUACCUAACCAGAAAGCCACGGCUAACUACGUGCCAGCAGCCGCGGUAAUACGUAGGUGGCAAGCGUUAUCCGGAAUUAUUGGGCGUAAAGCGCGCGCAGGUGGUUUCUUAAGUCUGAUGUGAAAGCCCACGGCUCAACCGUGGAGGGUCAUUGGAAACUGGGAGACUUGAGUGCAGAAGA
This 618-nucleotide ribosomal RNA is filed under the name Bacillaceae bacterium GUDS1242. RNAcentral's name for it is "bacterial SSU rRNA". It matches the Rfam family "Bacterial small subunit ribosomal RNA", at positions 56 to 655 of the family's 1533-position model. Lineage: Bacteria; Bacillati; Bacillota; Bacilli; Caryophanales; Bacillaceae. RNAcentral also lists the same sequence under 1 other name. The record is from RNAcentral.